Xiphophorus couchianus (Monterrey platyfish) is the source of this 564-nucleotide long non-coding RNA. RefSeq lists it as uncharacterized. The transcript has 2 exons. The record is from RefSeq and is a predicted model, not a curated record. Lineage: Eukaryota; Metazoa; Chordata; Actinopteri; Cyprinodontiformes; Poeciliidae.
AAGGAAGAAAAUAAAAGAUGAAGAUACGAAACCUAAAAAAAAAAAAAACUUUCCCCAGGCAACCUUACCACACAAACACUCUGCUGCAGUCUUUUCCUCAUUGUCCUGUAAUAAACUUUAACAUGCGGACUUUGAAAUAUACCAGGUUUUUGUUGUUGUUGUUCCUAAAAAUCUUCCUUAGUAUUUUUUUAAGUUAUUUUCCAGACUUUAUAAUUUCUUAUUCAGCAGUUUCUACAACAUUCUGGAGACUUGAGAAGAACAUUUACCCUGUUGCGUUUAAUGAUCUGCAUGUUUAACAAACCAUAACAAAAUGCUGAAGCUGGUUGUCUAUUCUCAGAACGGGAGUUUCCUGGACUAAAUACAGAUUAUGUGAGGGAAAGUUUGUGUUUGGUUAACCUUUUGAUUAUGAAAACUAAAGAAAACAAACUUUUCACUGUGUUCAGAUAUUAAAUUUCAUAUCUCCAUAUUUUUAUGAAAUACUUUGGGGCCAACAUUGUAAAUAUCCAGGGUUGACUUCCUUGUAAAUAACUCCAAAAAAAAAAAAAAAAGAUCAGUGAGUUGGAC